This 300-nucleotide ribosomal RNA is filed under the name uncultured Picrophilus sp. RNAcentral's name for it is "partial 16S ribosomal RNA". The stretch from base 53 to 300 matches the Rfam family "Bacterial small subunit ribosomal RNA", at positions 548 to 795 of the family's 1533-position model. The record is from RNAcentral. Lineage: Archaea; Methanobacteriati; Thermoplasmatota; Thermoplasmata; Thermoplasmatales; Picrophilaceae.
GUUAAUCGGGUGCAAGAGGCGGCGGGAGUAGAGAGGGUGCAGGGGUGAAUCUGAAUUACGGGGCGUAAAGCGCGCGUAGGUGGUUCGGUAAGUUGGAUGUGAAAUCCCCGGGCGCAACCUGGGAACUGCAUCCAAAACUGGCGAGCUAGAGUAGGGCAGAGGGUGGUGGAAUUUCCGGUGUAGCGGUGAAAUGCGUAGAUAUAGGAAGGAACACCAGUGGCGAAGGCGACCACCUGGGCUCAUACUGACACUGAGGUGCGAAAGCGUGGGGAGCAAACAGGAUUAGAUACCCGGGUAGUC